This 253-nucleotide ribosomal RNA is filed under the name uncultured bacterium. RNAcentral describes it as "partial 16S ribosomal RNA". It matches the Rfam family "Bacterial small subunit ribosomal RNA", at positions 524 to 776 of the family's 1533-position model. The record is from RNAcentral.
UACGGAGGGGGCUAGCGUUGUUCGGAAUUACUGGGCGUAAAGCGCACGUAGGCGGAUUGUUAAGUCGGGGGUGAAAUCCUGGAGCUCAACUCCAGAACUGCCUUCGAUACUGGCGAUCUCGAGUUCGGGAGAGGUGAGUGGAACUGCGAGUGUAGAGGUGAAAUUCGUAGAUAUUCGCAAGAACACCGGUGGCGAAGGCGGCGACCUGGGUCGAGACUGACGCUGAGGCGCGAAAGCGUGGGGAGCAAACAGG